CAAGAUUUUCAUUUAUUUCUUUUUAAAGUUUGGUCAUUUUCUUUUGUACUGCAAUAAGAAGUAGUUUUGGGGACCAGAUAAUACGAGUUCGUAUCCUGCUUCUUCCAGUUACUGAUUAAAAGACUUUGGGCAAAUCAUUUAAUUUCUCUGGGUUUUAGUUUGCUCAUCUGUAAAAUGUCAAAUGGAAUAACAAUAUCUUCUUUGAGAUGGCACACAGCAGAAACUUAAUUAUUAUUAUUAAUCCAUGCACAGAAAUAUAAUGAUAACAUUGCUUGAGAAAAAAUCAUCUCAGAGAAAGCAGUAAUAACUAUUAUUAUUUUUGUAAAUAGCAUUCAGAAUCUCCACCUAGCCCAAUUCUCAUACUUUUCACCAAAAUACUUCUGGGAACAGAAGAGGGGAAAUUAUCCUGAGGGUGGGAGUCUAGGGGAGGAUGGUGACCCACAGUGGCCUCCUGCAAAGGAGAAAUCAAUUUGUCUAAACUUACCAAGUUUUUGCUUUCCAGUGUAUGCUAAAUUCAGGCUAUUUUAAUAUGAAGAUGUUUUGAAUUACCUAUCAGUUAAAUUACUUUCAGCCCUCUUCUCUCUACUUGACAUGCCAGUAGGAAAUGGCUGGUUUAUCCUGGGGCUUCAUGUGGGUCCACCCAUCCUAUGCAUCCCUCACAGCUGCCCAUUGGGGGGAUUCUGGGCCCCCACUUUGAGAAACACAACCUAAGAGCAUUCUGAGUGGCAGUGGGCUUGGAAGUGAUGCCCUACUCAAUGCCGUGUCACAAAGGGGUGGCCUCCCAAGACACCCACAGCACCAGAGUGAGAACAGGGGCUGCAUGAAAACAGAUUCUGCUGAAUUGCUACCUGGACAUUUAAAAAGAGCUUCCUUAGAGGAUUCCUGACUUAGCUCUAGCAAUCUUAACCAUCACAUGGGCUAAAUGAACCCUGGAUCAUUUGUUUGCCCUUUGGCAGCUUCUGAGUUCAGAUGCCUUCCACAGGCUAUAAACUCAAAGACAACUCAUAGGUUUAAAUUGCAUCUCGAGCUGUCAGCAACUGGGAUGGACCAUCCGAGAGAGAGAGAGAGGAGAAUCAGAGUCACCUGAGAGUUGGAGAGACCUGCAGAGCUGUUGACGAACUCCUGGGUUAGGAGGCAAGAGGAACGUUUGGUGAUUCAGAGUGUGGGGGUCAGAAUGCCUGUGGCAGAACCUGCUGCACCACUCCACACCACAGGCCCUCUGGAAAGUGCCGUGACCUCUGAGCCCAACUUUAUUCCUCUGUAAAAUGGAGGCAAAGGAAGUAUUCUCUUCACAGGGUUGAGUGAGUAUACAUGAAGCACUUAACACAGGGCCUGAUAUACAAUGAGUGCUCAAUAAAUUGUACCUUAUGAUUGG
Molecule: long non-coding RNA, 1375 nt
Filed under: Felis catus (domestic cat)
Lineage: Eukaryota; Metazoa; Chordata; Mammalia; Carnivora; Felidae
Description: lncRNA (ENSFCAG00000051853.1)
Source: RNAcentral